GAACUUGGCAGAGAUGCCUUGGUGCCUUCGGGAACGCUGAGACAGGUGCUGCAUGGCUGUCGUCAGCUCGUGUUGUGAAAUGUUGGGUUAAGUCCCGNAACGAGCGCAACCCUUAUCCUUUGUUGCCAGCGAUUCGGUCGGGAACUCAAAGGAGACUGCCGGUGAUAAACCGGAGGAAGGUGGGGAUGACGUCAAGUCAUCAUGGCCCUUACGAGUAGGGCUACACACGUGCUACAAUGGCGCAUACAAAGAGAAGCGACCUCGCGAGAGCAAGCGGACCUCAUAAAGUGCGUCGUAGUCCGGAUCGGAGUCUGCAACUCGACUCCGUGAAGUCGGAAUCGCUAGUAAUCGUGGAUCAGAAUGCCACGGUGAAUACGUUCCCGGGCCUUGUACACACCGCCCGUCACACCAUGGGAGUGGGUUGCAAAAGAAGUAGGUAGCUUAACCCUCGGGAGGGCGCUUACCACUUUGUGAUUCAUGACUGGGGUGAAGUCGUAACAAGGUAAGCGUAGCGAG
This 516-nucleotide ribosomal RNA is filed under the name uncultured bacterium. RNAcentral's name for it is "bacterial SSU rRNA". It matches the Rfam family "Bacterial small subunit ribosomal RNA", at positions 993 to 1509 of the family's 1533-position model. The record is from RNAcentral.